GCCAUGAUGGCCGAGUGGUUAAGGCGUUGGACUUAAAAUCCAAUGAGCACAUGCUCACGUGGGUUCGAACCCCACUCCUGGUA
Non-coding RNA from Pygocentrus nattereri (red-bellied piranha), 83 nucleotides. NCBI's taxonomy places the organism in Eukaryota, Metazoa, Chordata, Actinopteri, Characiformes, Serrasalmidae. The record is from the annotation of a RefSeq genome assembly.